RNAcentral lists this long non-coding RNA (526 nucleotides) under Homo sapiens (human). RNAcentral's name for it is "non-protein coding lnc-PTCD2-9:1". The record is from RNAcentral. Lineage: Eukaryota; Metazoa; Chordata; Mammalia; Primates; Hominidae.
AGAGGCGCACAGCUUGGCACAUGACCUGAUAUGACUGAUGUUCAAAGCAGCUGUCAGUGAAUAGAGGCAGCACGCACAAAGGAGCCAGCCAAAAAUAAUGAGAGCGGUGAAAAGAAAAAAAAAAGAAAAGAAAAGAAAGAAACACAGCAGGGCAAGGCUCCAGGGUCACUUGUGUUUCCUCUGGUCUAACCUCCUCUCUCUCCUCCACCCAGUCCUCAAACAACCCCCUCCUGCCUCCUCCAGAAGAAAAGUUAAAAGCUUUCUUUUGGAAACAGAGUAGUUUGCUUAGACUGCUGCUGUUUACCUUUGGUAGGACAGCCAUUGGCGAGAGCUCACAGCAUCCUGUCUCCUCCAGAAGCUCUUCCCCAGCUGAAAUGGAAGUGAAAGACUGGUAGUCUCCUCCUCAACCACCCACCUCCUGGGGCCCUGACUGUGUGGAUGAACUCCUCACACCCAGGAUUUGUGUCUCCAGUGAAAAGCAGCAAUUUAUCCUACACUGAAAAUUUCCUGAAUAAAAACAGUUCAU